Molecule: long non-coding RNA, 1454 nt
Organism: Acinonyx jubatus (cheetah)
Lineage: Eukaryota; Metazoa; Chordata; Mammalia; Carnivora; Felidae
Exons: 4
Source: RefSeq, a predicted model, not a curated record
UUUCUCAGCUUUUAUUCUCCUGGAGAGAGCUCAUGACAACCUUCCUGCCUGAAAAUUCAACUUCCCUGAUCCUCUUUACUCAUUGAUCAACAAAAUGCAUCUAUACAUAUAUACUAAUCACCCCGAAUGUGAAUAAUAUAUUUAAUGUGUGUUCUUACUCAGUGUUUGUUUCGUAAGUAACUGUAAUGAUUGGGGUCCUUGGGUUGCAGGCAACAGAAGAUGACUUUGGACAAUUUAAGAAGGGAAAUUUAUCAGGAACUUAGCACAUCAACUGGAAAGCUGAGACUCAGGGUUGCAUUGCCAUGUCACAUGAAGCUGCUUCUCCCGAUGAAGCAGAGAUUGAAAUGUCACACCAGCACGAUCAAUUAGAUGAUGUAGAAGAGAGGCAUUUGCUACUUGACCUUAAUCCACAGGGCAAGAAGGGCUGAGUGGAGAAGACUAAAUACAGAGAGACUCAAAGGAAGAGGAAAUGGGCAGAGCAUAGUUUAAAUAGGCACAAAGCAGCAUAAAUGUUGAUUCAUGACGAAAAGGACAUCCUCAGGUUAAAGACUUCUUAUGAUGUAUACUGGUUCACUCACUCGUUCAACUCGGAGUGAGUACAAAGUAAAUAUAAACACCUUUCACACAAGGAAUAGGACAGAAAAGGAAGUAGGAUCCAUUUGGUUGCUUCAGAGUUCAAUUGUGAGAUAUCUAUUUAUCACAGCAGUGGAAAACCAGCAGGAGGUUCAGAGGAAAGCCAUGGAAACAGGAGGACCAGGAAAAUGAAAUGCAAACAAGUAUCCUGGGGAGUUUUGCAGCUGAUGAACCAAUGAUGAACCAAUCAUGAUGCAGGAUACUUCAUAAGUCACCAAACCUCCCUUGGCAGUUUAACAUCUUUUGUUCUAGAAGGUAAGAAAAUAUUCACAAAGCUUUUAAUGCUCUCCAGCUGUUCAUUGGUAAAGACCUCAACACAAGGCUCAAAGGGUGAAAAUUGUGCUUCGUUUAUAUUUUAUAUUUUUAUUUUUAAAUAUAAAAGAAAUGUUUUAUUGUCCUUUGGGGUUAAAAUUUCUCAAGUUUUAAGGAAUUUUCUUUUUAUUUUUUUAAUAUAAUUUGUUGUCAAAUUGGCUCAUAUACAGUACCCAGUGCUCAUCCCAACAAAUGCCCUCCUCAAUGCCCAUCACCUACAUUCUCCUCUCCUCCACCCCCCAUCAACCUCAGUUUGUUCUCUCUUAUGGUUUUCCUCCAUCCCUCUCUGUUUGUAACUAUUUUUUUCCCCUUCCCCUCCCUCAUGGUCUUCUGUUCAGUUUCUUAAGAUCCACAUAUGAGUGAAAAUAUAUGGUAUCUGUCUUUCUCUGCCUGACUUAUUUCACUUAGCAUAAUACCCUCCAGUUCCAUGCACGUUGCUGCAAAUGGCCAGAUUUCAUUCUUUCUCAUUGCCAAGUAGUAUGCCAUUGUAUAUAUAAACCACAUCUUCU